CCUACGGGAGGCAGCAGUAGGGAAUCUUCCGCAAUGGACGAAAGUCUGACGGAGCAACGCCGCGUGAGCGAUGAAGGCCUUCGGGUCGUAAAGCUCUGUUGUUAGGGAAGAACAAGUAUCGGAGUAACUGCCGGUACCUUGACGGUACCUAACCAGAAAGCCACGGCUAACUACGUGCCAGCAGCCGCGGUAAU
This 194-nucleotide ribosomal RNA is filed under the name uncultured Clostridium sp. Its description in RNAcentral is "partial 16S ribosomal RNA". It matches the Rfam family "Bacterial small subunit ribosomal RNA", at positions 338 to 524 of the family's 1533-position model. RNAcentral also lists the same sequence under 1 other name. The record is from RNAcentral. Lineage: Bacteria; Bacillati; Bacillota; Clostridia; Eubacteriales; Clostridiaceae.